Molecule: ribosomal RNA, 252 nt
Filed under: uncultured bacterium
Lineage: Bacteria
Description: partial 16S ribosomal RNA
Rfam family: Bacterial small subunit ribosomal RNA
Source: RNAcentral
UACAGAGGGGGCAAGCGUUAUUCGGAAUUAUUGGGCGUAAAGCGCGUGUAGGCGGCCCGGUAAGUCCGCUGUGAAAGUCGGGGGCUCAACCCUCGAAUGCCGGUGGAUACUGUCGGGCUAGAGUGCGGGAGAGGCGAGUGGAAUUCCUGGUGUAGCGGUGAAAUGCGCAGAUAUCAGGAGGAACACCAAUUGCGAAGGCAGCUCGCUGAACGUAACUGACGCUGAGGCGCGAAAGCGUGGGGAGCAAACAGG